UUCGACUAGGGGGUCAUCCCGACUUACCAACUCGAUGCAAACUACGAAUACCGAAGAAUGUUAUCACGGGAGACACACGGCGGGUGCUAACGUUCGUCGUGAAGAGGGAAACAACCCAGACCGCCAGCUAAGGUCCCAAAGUCAUAGUUAAGUGGGAAACGAAGUGGGAAGGCUCAGACAGCCAGGAUGUUGGCUUAGAAGCAGCCAUCAUUUAAAGAAAGCGUAAUAGCUCACUGGUCGAGUCGGCCUGCGCGGAAGAUGUAACGGGGCUAAACUAUGCACCGAAGCUGCGGCAGCGAUAUUUAGAUAUUGUUGGGUAGGGGAGCGUUCUGUAAGCCUGUGAAGGUGURCUGUGAGGCAUGCUGGAGGUAUCAGAAGUGCGAAUGCUGACAUAAGUAACGAUAAUGCGGGUGAAAAACCCGCACGCCGGAAGACCAAGGGUUCCUGUCCAACGUUAAUCGGGGCAGGGUGAGUCGACCCCUAAGGCGAGGCAGAAAUGCGUAGUCGAUGGGAAACGGGUUAAUAUUCCCGUACUGGUGAUAAUUGCGAUGGGGGGACGGAGAAGGCUAGGCUAUCCGGGCGACGGUUGUCCCGGUUUAAGGAUGUAGGCGCUGAAGCCAGUCGCAGAUACCAGCUGGCUGCAACUGUUUAUUAAAAACACAGCACUGUGCAAACACGAAAGUGGACGUAUACGGUGUGACGCCUGCCCGGUGCUGGAAGGUUAAUUGAUGGGGUUAUCCGUAAGGAGAAGCUCUUGAUCGAAGCCCCAGUAAACGGCGGCCGUAACUAUAACGGUCCUAAGGUAGCGAAAUUCCUUGUCGGGUAAGUUCCGACCUGCACGAAUGGCGUAAUGAUGGCCAGGCUGUCUCCACCCGAGACUCAGUGAAAUUGAACUCGCUGUGAAGAUGCAGUGUACCCGCGGCAAGACGGAAAGACCCCGUGAACCUUUACUAUAGCUUGACACUGAACAUUGAGCCUUGAUGUGUAGGAUAGGUGGGAGGCUUYGAAGCGUGGACGCCAGUCUGCGUGGAGCCAACCUUGAAAUACCACCCUUUAAUGUUUGAUGUUCUAACGUUG
This 1077-nucleotide ribosomal RNA is filed under the name Providencia rettgeri. RNAcentral's name for it is "partial 23S ribosomal RNA". Lineage: Bacteria; Pseudomonadati; Pseudomonadota; Gammaproteobacteria; Enterobacterales; Morganellaceae. The record is from RNAcentral.